Molecule: transfer RNA, 74 nt
Filed under: Bifidobacterium eulemuris
Lineage: Bacteria; Bacillati; Actinomycetota; Actinomycetes; Bifidobacteriales; Bifidobacteriaceae
Description: tRNA-Met
Rfam family: tRNA
About the family: Transfer RNA (tRNA) molecules are approximately 80 nucleotides in length. Their secondary structure includes four short double-helical elements and three loops (D, anti-codon, and T loops). Further hydrogen bonds mediate the characteristic L-shaped molecular structure. tRNAs have two regions of fundamental functional importance: the anti-codon, which is responsible for specific mRNA codon recognition, and the 3' end, to which the tRNAs corresponding amino acid is attached (by aminoacyl-tRNA synthetases). tRNAs cope with the degeneracy of the genetic code in two manners: having more than one tRNA (with a specific anti-codon) for a particular amino acid; and 'wobble' base-pairing, i.e. permitting non-standard base-pairing at the 3rd anti-codon position.
Source: RNAcentral
GGGGCUGUAGCUCAGUCGGUUAGAGCAUCGGACUCAUAAUCCGCCGGUCCAGGGUUCAAGCCCCUGCAGCCCCA